Molecule: long non-coding RNA, 645 nt
Organism: Rosa rugosa (rugosa rose)
Lineage: Eukaryota; Viridiplantae; Streptophyta; Magnoliopsida; Rosales; Rosaceae
Exons: 4
Source: RefSeq, a predicted model, not a curated record
GUUCAACAAAUGAAAUUUAGUUUCAAUGUAGAGAGUUGAGCAAUGCCAUAUAUCUUGAGAAGGCUAAGUAUUGGGACACUUCAAAGCUUCAAGUCAUAUCCUUCUUGCUGAAGGCUUUAUUCAAAGAAGAGGUGCGUGCAGAUUGUUUCAUGUGUAAGCGAUAGCUCGUUACAAUUUUCUGUAUUGGGCAAUAUAAUUGUUUUUUGUUCACUUUCUGCUGGCAUUUAGAGAAGGGAAUGAUGGACUGCCCACAUGCAAAGUGCACUCCUUGUAUCAGAUUGUAAUGGCAGAGCUUGAGAAGUUGGGUCAGAAAUAUCGUGUGGCUCUGAGGCUGUCCGUAUCAAAGGAGUUGCAGCUGUGGGAUGAAUAGUCUUGAUGUUUGUAUUUUGAUGGGUGCAACUGUAAAUUCUUAGUUAGUAUAUUUAUUGUAUGAUACAUUUUAAAAUAUAGUACAGAGUACAAUACAAGAAUGUAGAGGUGCCAAUUGGCACCUUAUUUUUUUAAUCCAACCUCAUAAAUUUGCCACUGAUAACAGUGGCAUUCCAAAGCCACUAAUAUCAGUGUGGAUUUAGAUUCUGACUUUGCAUUGGAUGAAGUUAUUCCACUGUUGUUUUAUCAGUGUGUAUUGUCCCAAUAGCACCUGCA